AGACUGGCGGCGUUGCAUACUGAUUGAGUGAAUCAAUAGAAUUUUCUGUUGCGUCGCACCUAAUAGAAUUCGUAUUGCGUUGCAUCAUCUGAAGUAAUGUUGUCGGGGAUUAUGUCAUCAUAAUAUUGCUAAAGGCAGGGAUACCUGAAUCGAUGCCAUAUCGGUUUGUGUAAGUAUGAAAUCAUCGACAUUUGUUCCUGUUGUAAUGUAUUCUAUGCAUCGUCUUCCUAUCUUUCCUAUACCGAUUUCAUCACAGUAAGUUUUCGAGAAUGACAUCCCUAUUCAGACUGGUGUUAAACGUCGGUACCGUCUACGAAUUUAAAUACCGGGCAUUGUCCCGCCUCAAAAUGCUCCUCUCUCUCUCUCUCUCCUAAAGCCACACCAUGUUAUGCAGAUGUUAAUCCAGAUGGAACCUGAAUAAAUGGCAAAAGUGCUAACGGUAGCAGGAAUAACAACAAAGACGGAGAAACCAUAAACAAUGGGAAAUUACUGUAGUGAAUCACGCGGGUUAAAAGCUAUAACCGCACCUCGUCAGUUCUGUUUGGAACGCCAAUCUCGGAACGAUCUUUUUUUUUCAGCUGCGUGUCUGCCAGGCUCCGGUUGCUAUAGAUGUACUUUUUCUUUAAAAUAAAAUUGGAAAAAAAAGGUGUUUUCAUUGGUAUAGGCAUGUACAGCUCUAUCAUCUCUUUGACGUAAUUUGCUUGGAAUGGCUGAGAAGCAAAAACACUUUCAAAACAGAGCGAUUGCUGCGUAAAAUGUUUGACCUUCGAAGAAAACUGAAUCUUCCAGGUAACCGUUUGACUCCCAGCUGCUCCUCCCCCUCCGUGCACCAUCACAUCCACUACAUUAUGAAACUCUUCGCUCAGCGCUGAACCCAAGCUGCCAUGCCCAACCAAACAUGUAACAUUAUGGAAUGUUUUUGCUCACUUAUUCCUCCAUUGCACGUACGUUUAGUUUUAAUGUUAUCCUUGUAAGUCCAUUAACAAAACAAGUAUUUAAAUGAUUAUUUUCAUCAGCAUGCGUGCGGCAGUGUUAUACGAGCAAUGGCUUGAAUCACAAAUAAACUAGGAAUAAACGAUAACCGUUGCGACGCUAUAAGCUAACCUACGCAUCGCCUCGUGGAUCGCCUUGGCUACUUUCCGGUGACCGGUAUAAAGGCCCCAUCCCAGUCGAAGGUGGCAUCACUCUCCGCCCAGACGUCAACAGACAAACACGCGCCAGCGUUUCUCCUCGGCAAACACAAAGUUCCCCGUCGUCUGUGCUUCGCUGUAGUAUACUUCGUCUCCGGCAUCAUGGUGGACGUUUGCGAUAUAAUCCUUUUCGUGGGGUUGUUGGUUUUGCCAACGGCCCUGGUGGGUGUGCUCGUGUACUCCGGACAGCCUCUGGAAAGUGGGGUGAUGGCAGUGGCACUUCUGGUACUCCUCGUGUUUAUGGUUUUGAUUUUGAUCAAGCACUUCAUUGCGAAGAGGAAUAAGUCCAAGGAGGACUCGCUCGAGAAAGAGGUCGGACUUGAAAUUCCCCCAGACGUGGUCUGAGAAAGCAAGGAUUGACGCUGACAAUUCCGUCCGAAGGAGGAUGCCUUGUUCUUUUUCCAAGAAAAGAAAACAGGCAGCCCAAUGCCGACAAGGAACCUUGCUCUGUGCCUUGUAAGGUCACGAGAAGACCUCUUGGUCCUCCCCAGCUUGAAGGGGGCACAUCUCAAGCCAAGCUAGUGGAGCUGCCCCCUUCUGCGUAGGAGGAAAUCUUGAGGACAUCAACGGCACCAGUUCAUCAGAAGUGUGACUUCAGAUCCUGAGAACGAGACAUUAGAUUGCUUCGCAUUGUUGUUAAUAAUGCUCGUGAUCGAAGCUUUUACGUUUUCUCUGCUGGUGUUGAAGUCGAAAGCAGGAAAUAUCUCGCUGUUGUGGUUUUUGCGUCCUUGGCAGUUGGAUGCUGCUUGAUAGAACAGUAGAGUUACAAAGUGGUGAAUCGUUACCUUAGUAACCAAAAGUGGUGAGAGAAGUUAGUAGUACUUGUUACUUGGAUGCUGAUCAAGCGUCAUGUACGAGCAGCAGUGCUAUAUAUUUCAGCUUGUGCUGAUAAUGAGAGAAUGCAAGACAAAUAAAUUGUCUGAUAACAGUGAAAA
Macrobrachium nipponense is the source of this 2125-nucleotide long non-coding RNA. RefSeq lists it as uncharacterized. The transcript is spliced from 2 exons. The record is from RefSeq and is a predicted model, not a curated record. Lineage: Eukaryota; Metazoa; Arthropoda; Malacostraca; Decapoda; Palaemonidae.